RNAcentral lists this ribosomal RNA (303 nucleotides) under uncultured bacterium. Its description in RNAcentral is "partial 16S ribosomal RNA". It matches the Rfam family "Bacterial small subunit ribosomal RNA", at positions 507 to 809 of the family's 1533-position model. The record is from RNAcentral.
AGCAGUAGCCACGGGAAUACGAAGGGUGCAAGCGUUACUCGGAAUUACUGGGCGUAAAGCGUGUGUAGGUGGUGGUUUAAGUCCGUUGUGAAAGCCCUGGGCUCAACCUGGGAAUUGCAGUGGAUACUGGGUCACUAGAGUGUGGUAGAGGAUAGUGGAAUUUCCGGUGUAGCAGUGAAAUGCGUAGAGAUCGGAAGGAACAUCUGUGGCGAAGGCGACUAUCUGGGCCAACACUGACACUGAGGCACGAAAGCGUGGGGAGCAAACAGGAUUAGAUACCCCUGUAGUCCCUGUCUCUUAUAU